Molecule: ribosomal RNA, 429 nt
Filed under: Chloroflexota bacterium
Lineage: Bacteria; Bacillati; Chloroflexota
Description: Chloroflexi bacterium partial 16S ribosomal RNA
Rfam family: Bacterial small subunit ribosomal RNA
Source: RNAcentral
UGGGGAAUAUUGCACAAUGGGCGCAAGCCUGAUGCAGCCAUUCCGCGUGUGUGAAGAAUUCCUUCGGGUUGUAAAGCACUUUCAGCGGGGAGGAAGGCGUUAAUGUUAAUAACCUUUGCGAUUGACUUUACCCGCAGAAGAAGCACCUGCUAACUCCGUGCCAGCAGCCGCGGUAAUACGGAUGGUGCAAGCGUUAAUCGGAAUUACUGGGCGUAAGGCGCACGCAGGCGGUCUGUCAAGUCGGAUGUGAAAUCCCCGGGCUCAACCUAGGAACUGCAUUCGAAACUGGCAGGCUAGAGUCUUGUAGAGGGGGGUGGAAUUCCCGGUGUGGCUGUGAAAUGCGUGGAGAUCUGGAGGAUUUCCAGUGACAAGGGCGGCCCCCUGGACAAAGACUAGCGCUCAGGUGCGAAAGCGUGGAGAGCAAACAGG